RNAcentral lists this ribosomal RNA (433 nucleotides) under uncultured bacterium. RNAcentral describes it as "partial 16S ribosomal RNA". It matches the Rfam family "Bacterial small subunit ribosomal RNA", at positions 29 to 507 of the family's 1533-position model. The record is from RNAcentral.
AACGAACGCUGGCGGCAUGCCUAACACAUGCGAGUCGAACGAGACCUUCGGGUCUAGUGGCGCACGGGUGCGUAACGCGUGGGAACCUGCCCUUAGGUUCGGAAUAACUCCCCGAAAGGGGUGCUAAUACCGGAUAAUGUCUUCGGACCAAAGAUUUAUCGCCUUUGGAUGGGCCCGCGUUGGAUUAGCUAGUUGGUAGGGUAAAAGCCUACCAAGGCGACGAUCCAUAGCUGGUCUGAGAGGAUGAUCAGCCACACUGGGACUGAGACACGGCCCAGACUCAUACGGGAGGCAGCAGUGGGGAAUAUUGGACAAUGGGCGAAAGCCUGAUCCAGCAAUGCCGCGUGAGUGAUGAAGGCCUUAGGGUUGUAAAGCUCUUUUACCCGGGAUGAUAAUGACAGUACCGGGAGAAUAAGCUCCGGCUAACUCCGUG